RNAcentral lists this ribosomal RNA (614 nucleotides) under Trichoderma harzianum. RNAcentral's name for it is "eukaryotic LSU rRNA". The stretch from base 228 to 381 matches the Rfam family "5.8S ribosomal RNA". The record is from RNAcentral. Lineage: Eukaryota; Fungi; Ascomycota; Sordariomycetes; Hypocreales; Hypocreaceae.
UUGGGUGACCAGCGGAGGGAUCAUUACCGAGUUUACAACUCCCAAACCCAAUGUGAACGUUACCAAACUGUUGCCUCGGCGGGAUCUCUGCCCCGGGUGCGUCGCAGCCCCGGACCAAGGCGCCCGCCGGAGGACCAACCAAAACUCUUAUUGUAUACCCCCUCGCGGGUUUUUUUAUAAUCUGAGCCUUCUCGGCGCCUCUCGUAGGCGUUUCGAAAAUGAAUCAAAACUUUCAACAACGGAUCUCUUGGUUCUGGCAUCGAUGAAGAACGCAGCGAAAUGCGAUAAGUAAUGUGAAUUGCAGAAUUCAGUGAAUCAUCGAAUCUUUGAACGCACAUUGCGCCCGCCAGUAUUCUGGCGGGCAUGCCUGUCCGAGCGUCAUUUCAACCCUCGAACCCCUCCGGGGGGUCGGCGUUGGGGAUCGGCCCUGCCUUGGCGGUGGCCGUCUCCGAAAUACAGUGGCGGUCUCGCCGCAGCCUCUCCUGCGCAGUAGUUUGCACACUCGCAUCGGGAGCGCGGCGCGUCCACAGCCGUUAAACACCCAACUUCUGAAAUGUUGACCUCGGAUCAGGUAGGAAUACCCGCUGAACUUAAGCAUAUCAAUAAGCGGAGGA